UUGAAACCAAAAAGUUAGGAACCUUUAGGGGUGAAAUUAAAAAAGACUGUAUGUUGGCAGUCUCUACUAGAAAAUUUUGGAAAUAUAGAUGCUGGUUUGAGUAUAGUUGAGCUUUGAAUCUAGUUUGGUUGGAUUAAAACCAGUCAGUUCCUUAGUGUGGGGCACAAUGAUUGUAAAUGGGUGGAUGAUGCAUGGUUGAUAAUUGUGCAGGAAGGG
RNAcentral lists this long non-coding RNA (216 nucleotides) under Gossypium barbadense (sea-island cotton). RNAcentral describes it as "long non-coding RNA (GBAR_LNC018651)". The record is from RNAcentral. Lineage: Eukaryota; Viridiplantae; Streptophyta; Magnoliopsida; Malvales; Malvaceae.